CCUACGGGUGGCAGCAGUGAGGAAUAUUGGUCAAUGGCCGAGAGGCUGAACCAGCCAAGUCGCGUGAGGGAAGACGGCCCUACGGGUUGUAAACCUCUUUUGUCGGGGAGCAAAGCGAGUCACGUGUGACUCAUUGAGAGUACCCGAAGAAAAAGCAUCGGCUAACUCCGUGCCAGCAGCCGCGGUAAUACGGAGGAUGCGAGCGUUAUCCGGAUUUAUUGGGUUUAAAGGGUGCGUAGGCGGCGCUUCAGGUCAGCGGUGAAAUACCGGGGCUCAACCCCGGGGCUGCCGUUGAAACCGGAGCGCUAGAAUUCCGAUGCCGUCGGAGGAAUGUGUGGUGUAGCGGUGAAAUGCAUAGAUAUCACACAGAACACCGAUUGCGAAGGCAUCUGACGAAUCGGAGAUUGACGCUGAUGCACGAAAGCGUGGGUAUCGAACAGGAUUAGAUACCCGGGUAGUC
Molecule: ribosomal RNA, 460 nt
Filed under: uncultured bacterium
Lineage: Bacteria
Description: partial 16S ribosomal RNA
Rfam family: Bacterial small subunit ribosomal RNA
Source: RNAcentral